UUUGUGAUUCAGGCUUAGUUUGAGAUUCGGGAGAGAUUACGUUACAUACGGUGAGAAAGUACGAUGAGAAAAUAUUUUAUUUAUUUCCGUACACAAAUUUAUGUUCUGCAUAUUGCGAUCAGUCGGUUACGAUAUAUUUUCUGCGAUCCCAUCAGAGAACAUAGAAACAUAUUUCUAUAUUCUUUUAUCCCAACUUCAUUUUAUCUAAUAACAUUAAAUAUGUUGGCUUAAAUGGACCAGCAUCCUGCUCUAUGGCGAGAGGUCAUAUUGGGCCGAGUCAUAUUCGAAAUGACGUGAGGCUGAUGGGUCGAGUCAUGUUCGAAGUAGCGUGAAGCUGGUAGGGCCGAGUUACAAUCGAGAUCCGUGGGCGCUGCAUCUGCAUGUACGCUUUAAGUGAAUUAGUUGCGUAUUUCUAAUAGCUCGAAUUUUUGGGAUUAAUGGUUAGCGCCAAUGAUCCGACAAAUGGUAUCAGAGUCAGUAGUCAUGGGUUUGAUUCCUGCAUGCUACAAAUGUGUGUAGAUGCUGGAAGGGGGAUUGUUUGCUUAAAUGGGCCAGUAUGCUACCCUGUGGCGGGAGGCCAUGUUGGACUGAGUCAUGUUCGCAGUAGCAUGAGGCUGGUUGGGCUGAGUCACAAUCGAAAUCUGUGGGCAUUAUAAUUAUAUCUAUACGCUUUAAGUGAGCUUUUGGGAUUAAUGGUUGC
This 700-nucleotide long non-coding RNA is filed under the name Ananas comosus (pineapple). RNAcentral's name for it is "long non-coding RNA (ACOM_LNC013104)". The record is from RNAcentral. Lineage: Eukaryota; Viridiplantae; Streptophyta; Magnoliopsida; Poales; Bromeliaceae.